GACGAACGCUGGCGGCGUGCUUAACACAUGCAAGUCGAACGGAAAGGCCCUGCUUUUGUGGGGUGCUCGAGUGGCGAACGGGUGAGUAACACGUGAGUAACCUGCCCUUGACUUUGGGAUAACUUCAGGAAACUGGGGCUCAUACCGGAUAGGAGCUCCUGCUGCAUGGUGGGGGUUGGAAAGUUUCGGCCGUUGGGGAUGGACUCGCGGCUUAUCAGCUUGUUGGGGGGGUAGUGGCUUACCAAGGCUUUGACGGGUAGCCCGCCUGGGAGGGUAGCCGGGCACCAUGGGACUGAGGUACGGACCAGAAGGCUACCGGACGCAGAAGUGGGGAAUAUUGCAAAAUGGGGCGAAGUCUGAUGCGGCAACCCCGGGUGCGUGAUGAUCGGCUUUGGGUGGAAAACAGCUUUCGCCUGUGAUGAAGCGUGAGUGACGGUAAUGGGUAAAGAAGCACCGGCUAACUACGUG
Molecule: ribosomal RNA, 468 nt
Filed under: uncultured bacterium
Lineage: Bacteria
Description: partial 16S ribosomal RNA
Rfam family: Bacterial small subunit ribosomal RNA
Source: RNAcentral